RNAcentral lists this ribosomal RNA (467 nucleotides) under uncultured Oomycota. RNAcentral's name for it is "LSU rRNA". The stretch from base 1 to 86 matches the Rfam family "Bacterial large subunit ribosomal RNA", at positions 476 to 562 of the family's 2925-position model. Lineage: Eukaryota; Oomycota. The record is from RNAcentral.
GUGCGAGACCGAUAGCGAACAAGUACCGUGAGGGAAAGAUGAAAAGAACUUUGAAAAGAGAGUUAAAGAGUACCUGAAACUGCUGGAAGGGAAGCGAAUCGUAUCCAGUGUCUAUAAUCUGCGGCAUAUUUCAUUGGCGGCAGUGUGCGUGCUUUUGCGUCGGAAGCGGCUUUUGUUGCUCUGUGCUUUUGCUGUGCGUGCUGUUGCUGGUGCCCUGUGUUGCGGUGGGACGUCAGAGUCAGUUCGUAUGCUGCGGGAAAUGGCCGCCGAGGAGGUAGGUCAGGACUUCGGUCUUGGCUGUUAUAUCUUGGUGGUUUGUUGUCGUGGUUGGGACUGAGGUGCCUACAAUGUGCUUUUGAGUGUGCCGGGUUCUCAUUUGGUGGACUGUUUGGAUAGCUUGCUAUGCUUGUGGUUUUUUCAUCGAGUGAUUGAGUCUGGUGGUAACUUGUUGCUGUUCGGGACUUUGA